AAUAUAUUUUAUUUUAGUAAUUUAAUUUUUUUAUUUCUUUUAUUUACAUGUAAAUUUUUGUAAAAAUAGUUUAAUAACGAAUAAACAGUAAUUAUAGUUAUAAUUUAAUGAAAAUUAGAAAUAUAAAUUGAAGUAAAGUUCAACAAAUUUUGUGCCAGCAGUUGCGGUUAUACAAUUGAACUAAUAAAAUUUUAAAAAUAGAUUAAUUAUUUUUUGACUAGAUUAAAAUUGAAAAUUAGAAGGUAAAAUUUAAUUUUUUAAGUUUAAAUUCUUUGGGUGUAAUUGAGAAACUAAGUAUAAAAAUCAGGAUUAGAUACCCUGUUAUUAAAGCGUAAAUUUAUUGGAGUAGUAGAAGAUAAGAUCUUGAAACUCAAAAAAUUUGGCGGUAUUUUAUCUAAUUAGAGGAACCUGUUUAUUAAUUGAUAUUCCACAACUUAAAUCUACUUUUACGAGAUUAUUUGUAUACCGCUGUCAUGAAUCUACUAAAAAGUUUAUUUUCAAAAUUUUUUAUGCAAGUUAUGUUAGGUCAAGGUGUAGUAUGUAAAUGAACAAAAUGGGUUACAUUAUUUAUUAUGAAUGAAUAAUUCUAUUAAUAUAGUUUAUGAAAUGGGAUUUAUAAGUAAAAGAAUUACAAAGAUUUUAUAUGAAUAAAGAUUCUAAAAUAUGUACACAUUGCCCGUCGCUCUUGUUUAAAAUAAGAUAAGUCGUAACAUAGUAGAUGUACUGGAAAGUGCCUCUGGAAUUAGA
Molecule: non-coding RNA, 747 nt
Filed under: Cacopsylla picta
Lineage: Eukaryota; Metazoa; Arthropoda; Insecta; Hemiptera; Psyllidae
Source: RNAcentral